RNAcentral lists this ribosomal RNA (584 nucleotides) under Cibicidoides lobatulus. Its description in RNAcentral is "bacterial SSU rRNA". It matches the Rfam family "Eukaryotic small subunit ribosomal RNA", at positions 1220 to 1547 of the family's 1831-position model. Lineage: Eukaryota; Foraminifera; Rotaliida; Anomalinidae. The record is from RNAcentral.
GGGUCCGGACACACUGAGGAUUGACAGGCAAUAUUAAUACGUUUUGCUUCGGUAAACGCGUAUUAUGUUAAAUAUGCUAGUCCUUUCAUGAUUAUGUGAUAGGUGGUGCAUGGCCGUUCUUAGUUCGUGGAGUGAUCUGUCUGCUUAAUUGCGUUUCACUAAGGGCCUAUAAAUUUACGUGUGUUGCAUCGCACUUUGACCCCUUUCUUUAAUUAGAGAGCGCGUGUCUUAGUUUUCGCUUUGCUCAUACAAUUAGGUCCUGAAAGCAACGAACGUGACCGCAACCUCUUGUUGCCUUUAUACCAAACAUGUUUUGCGUCAAUUUUUACGAAUUGCGCGCAUUUCAUGAAAAAAGGCUUUUUAAACUAGAGGGACCGCUGUUACUUUCUUAAACCAGAGGAAGGUUGCGGCAAUAACAGGUCUGUGAUGCCCUUAGAUGUUCCGGGCUGCACACGUGCUACAAUGAUUAUUGCAGUGAGCAUCUCAUUUUUACACACUGCAUGCGCGAGUCCAUUUAUUCACCUUCGGGUGUUUUAAAUGUGUAUCUCUGCGCGCGGUAAAGCCUGCUUCGACAGUAAGUGGGU